Molecule: ribosomal RNA, 253 nt
Filed under: uncultured bacterium
Lineage: Bacteria
Description: partial 16S ribosomal RNA
Rfam family: Bacterial small subunit ribosomal RNA
Source: RNAcentral
GACGUAGGGGGCGAGCGUUGUCCGGAUUUAUUGGGCGUAAAGCGUGCGUAGGCGGCUGCGCAAGUCGGGUGUGAAACCCCGGGGCUCAACCCCGGAACUGCAUCCGAUACUGCGUGGCUAGAGGUAGGUAGGGGAGAUCGGAAUUCCUGGUGUAGCGGCGAAAUGCGCAGAUAUCAGGAGGAACACCCGUGGCGAAGGCGGUUCUCUGGGACGGUACUGACGCUGAGACGCGAAAGCGUGGGGAGCGAACAGG